RNAcentral lists this transfer RNA (73 nucleotides) under Kwoniella pini CBS 10737. Its description in RNAcentral is "tRNA-Arg (TCT) (tRNA-Arg-TCT-1-1, tRNA-Arg-TCT-1-2)". It matches the Rfam family "tRNA". From Rfam's summary of the family: Transfer RNA (tRNA) molecules are approximately 80 nucleotides in length. Their secondary structure includes four short double-helical elements and three loops (D, anti-codon, and T loops). RNAcentral also lists the same sequence under 1 other name. Lineage: Eukaryota; Fungi; Basidiomycota; Tremellomycetes; Tremellales; Cryptococcaceae. The record is from RNAcentral.
GGUUCCGUGGCCCAAUGGUUAAGGCAUUCGCCUUCUAAGCGGAGGAUUGCGGGUUCGAUCCCCGCCGGGACUU